GAAAAAAGUCAGAAUUUAGAAACUUUGAAGAUACAUCAAUGCCAGAAAAUAAAAACUUCAAUCCCACGUUCUUUUCAUUGAGAAAACAAAAAGUUAUCAAUUUCAAAUGUUAAAUUACCAUAUUAUCAUAAUUUCGCCAAAAAAGAACAGAAAUUAGCCUACCAAGUUCAAAUUUGACUUGAAAAUUCGUUCAGGGAAAAAAAAAAACUAAAGAUCUUUACUUUCCUUCUCCUUUUCCCUCCAUUUACGAGCAACCAAACAAAACAGAAACGAUUCAAAAUUCAAGAAGUAGAAACUCAC
RNAcentral lists this unclassified non-coding RNA (300 nucleotides) under Hevea brasiliensis (rubber tree). The record is from RNAcentral. Lineage: Eukaryota; Viridiplantae; Streptophyta; Magnoliopsida; Malpighiales; Euphorbiaceae.